Molecule: long non-coding RNA, 710 nt
Filed under: Gossypium barbadense (sea-island cotton)
Lineage: Eukaryota; Viridiplantae; Streptophyta; Magnoliopsida; Malvales; Malvaceae
Description: long non-coding RNA (GBAR_LNC016326)
Source: RNAcentral
AAAACUUAAACUUUCUCUCCUUUUUUUUUAGGGCAUCUCCCUGUCUGGGCAGAGGGCCCUCGGAACUCUGCUAUGGCCACGGUCAUCAACGACGGCAGUCGUCACCUCCGGUGGCCGGAGUCGGAAAAAAAUGCUCCUUUUAGCCCUCUUGACCCCGAUUUGAAGGCAAUGCCUUCUAAAAAAUAGAAAACCUUUCACGCCCCGUUCUGUCGAAGCCCAGGCCAAACCUUAAUAGGUUCUGGGGUUUUCGGUGUCGGAGAAGACCUCUGAUGACAGAGGGAAGCGAAGCAACACAGGUAAAAAACAAACUUUAUUUUUUUUAUACUUCUCGAAUACUGUUCGAAAUAAAAAAUAAAAAAAGGAUCACCUUCUUUUUUCCUUUUAACGUUUUUGUUCUUUGUAUUGAUUUUCUUCUUAAACAAAUACAUGUGUUGUUAUGGCUUUUAUAACCGAAUAUAUUAUAUUUUUAUUUUCCCUAUUUUUUUGCUAUUUUUGUUGCUCUUUCUGUCUCUUUUGUUCUUGCAGGUCGCGAUGGUAGUCAACGACGAUAGGGAGUACACCCUUGCCAUUUCGGUGAAACAAUGGCAAGGGAGACAGUCCUCGGGCGACGCAUCCGCUGACAUGGCCAGGAGUAGCGACGCAUAGGGGAUCUAGGGUUUUUUAGUUUCUGAAAAAAUUUUAAGUUGUGAGCUUUGGCUUGUGUAACAUUG